AGAGUUUGAUCCUGGCUCAGGACGAACGCUGGCGGCGUGCCUAACACAUGCAAGUCGAACGGAGCACUUCGGUGCUUAGUGGCGAACGGGUGAGUAACGCGUGAGAAACCUGCCUCUCAGUGGGGGACAACAGUUGGAAACGACUGCUAAUACCGCAUAAUGUAUUCGGAGGGCAUCCUCUGGAUACCAAAGCUUUAUGUGCUGAGAGAUGGUCUCGCGUCUGAUUAGCUAGUUGGCGGGGUAACGGCCCACCAAGGCGACGAUCAGUAGCCGGUCUGAGAGGAUGAACGGCCACAUUGGGACUGAGAUACGGCCCAGACUCCUACGGGAGGCAGCAGUGGGGAACAUUGGGCAAUGGGGGAAACCCUGACCCAGCAACGCCGCGUGAAGGAAGAAGGCCCUCGGGUUGUAAACUUCUUUUACCAGGGACGAACAAAUGACGGUACCUGGAGAAAAAGCAACGGCUAACUACGUGCCAGCAGCCGCGGUAAUACGUAGGUUGCAAGCGUUGUCCGGAUUUACUGGGUGUAAAGGGCGUGUAGGCGGAGAUGCAAGUCAGGAGUGAAAUCCCGGGGCUCAACCCCGGAACUGCUUUCAAAACUGCAUCCCUUGAGUAUCGGAGAGGCAAGCGGAAUUCCUAGUGUAGCGGUGAAAUGCGUAGAUAUUAGGAGGAACACCAGUGGCGAAGGCGGCUUGCUGGACGACAACUGACGCUGAGGCGCGAAAGCGUGGGGAGCAAACAGGAUUAGAUACCCUGGUAGUCCACGCUGUAAACGAUGAAUACUAGGUGUGGGAGGACUGACCCUUUCCGUGCCGCAGUUAACACAAUAAGUAUUCCACCUGGGGAGUACGACCGCAAGGUUGAAACUCAAAGGAAUUGACGGGGGCCCGCACAAGCGGCGGAGCAUGCGGAUUAAUUCGAUGCAACGCGAAGAACCCUACCAAGGCUUGACAUGAACCGGAAAGGCCUGGAAACAGGUCCCCCACUUGUGGCCGGUUUACAGGUGGUGCAUGGUUGUCGUCAGCUCGUGUCGUGAGAUGUUGGGUUAAGUCCCGCAACGAGCGCAACCCUCGUUCUAUGUUGCCAGCGGGUUAUGCCGGGGACUCAUAGGAGACUGCCGGGGUCAACUCGGAGGAAGGUGGGGACGACGUCAAAUCAUCAUGCCCCUUAUGUCUUGGGCUUCACGCAUGCUACAAUGGCCGGUACAAAGGGUUGCGAUACUGUGAGGUGGAGCUAAUCCCAAAAAGCCGGUCUCAGUUCGGAUUGAGGUCUGCAACUCGACCUCAAGAAGUUGGAGUCGCUAGUAAUCGCAGAUCAGCAACGCUGCGGUGAAUACGUUCCCGGGCCUUGUACACACCACCCGUCAA
Molecule: ribosomal RNA, 1368 nt
Filed under: uncultured bacterium
Lineage: Bacteria
Description: bacterial SSU rRNA
Rfam family: Bacterial small subunit ribosomal RNA
Source: RNAcentral